AAUUGAUCACCUCCACUUGUCCC
This 23-nucleotide unclassified non-coding RNA is filed under the name Mus musculus (house mouse). RNAcentral's name for it is "oocyte_clustered_small_RNA9625". Lineage: Eukaryota; Metazoa; Chordata; Mammalia; Rodentia; Muridae. The record is from RNAcentral.